AUGGCGAGCAGCGUGGGGGGAGAUGCCGGGGAAGGGGAGUGGCUCAAGGUCGCCGAGCUGAGGGCCAUGGCGGGAGCCCAGGACCCGCAUGUCAAGGAGGUGGACAACCUGACGCUCCGGAGGUUCCUGCGCGCGCGUGGCCACGACGUGGGCAAGGCCUCGGCGAUGCUGCUCAAGUUCAUGGCGUGGAGGCGGGAGGCCGUGCCGGGGGGCGUCGGCGCCGUCAUGCCGGCGGAGCUGGUGCGGGCGGAGCCGUCGCGCGAGUUGGCCUCCAUGGGCGGGGUCGACCGCGCAGGCCGCCCCGUCCUGCUCGCCUUCCCGGCCAAGCACUUCUCCGCCAACCGGGACAUGGCCGGCUUCAAGCGGCUCGUUGUGUACCUGCUGGACAGUGUCUGCUCGAGGAUCCCACGGGGGCAGGACAAGUUCAUCGUCGUGGUGGACCUCAAGGGGUGGGGGUACGCCAACUGCGACGUGCGCGCGUACGUGGCGGCCAUCGAGAUCAUGCAGAGCUACUACCCGGAGCGGCUGGGCAAGGCGCUCAUGGUCCACGUGCCCUACAUCUUCAUGAAGGCCUGGAAGAUGGUGUACCCCUUCAUCGACGCGAACACCAGGGACAAGUUCGUGUUCGUGGACAACAAGAGCCUGGAGGGGGCGCUGCGGCGGGAGAUGGACGAGAGCCAGGUGCCGGAGAUGUACGGCGGGAAGCUGCCCGUUGCCCCCCUCACCGACGACUAG
Molecule: ribosomal RNA, 735 nt
Filed under: Triticum aestivum (bread wheat)
Lineage: Eukaryota; Viridiplantae; Streptophyta; Magnoliopsida; Poales; Poaceae
Description: partial small subunit ribosomal RNA
Source: RNAcentral